Long non-coding RNA from Eriocheir sinensis (Chinese mitten crab), 2588 nucleotides. RefSeq lists it as uncharacterized. Lineage: Eukaryota; Metazoa; Arthropoda; Malacostraca; Decapoda; Varunidae. The record is from RefSeq and is a predicted model, not a curated record. The transcript is spliced from 2 exons.
CCGUCUGUCUGUCUGUCUGUCUGUCUGUGUGUACGUUUGUGGGUCUUUUUGCUCCCCUCCCUGACCGUCAUCGUUGUUCGUGUGUCUGUAUAUUUAAUUCUCUUUCCAAUCAGUCUGUCCGUAUGGCCUAUUUGUAUAUGUAUUUGCUGCCUUUCUGUAUGUUGUAGCUCGUCUGUCUGUCUGUUUGUCUGUUUUCUCUUCCCUUUUCCUGUUACCCGUUUAGCUUCAACCAUUGUGAAAUACAUAGUAAGCGCCCGACCAGUAAAAGGUUUCUAUUAAGCCUGUCACCUUUUUUAUUUAUAUUUUUAUUUAUUUAUUUAUCACCUGCAAUGGCUAAAAAAACAGGUCAGUACGAUGAAAGGUUUGUCUUUUGUAGAAGCAUUUUCAUUUCCUGUUUAUUUUUUCAAUUCCCUUUUUUUUUCUGUGCACAUGUGUUGAACCUUCUGCUUUGUGCGUUCCUCUUUGUCCGUCUGUGUCUAUAUGUGUGUCUUUGUCUGUCUCUCUCGUUACCUGUACCUGCUUUUUCUGUUUCUCUUUCCCUCUGUGUCGGUGUCUCUAUAGAAGCAUCCUUUGUAUACCCGCCUGUCAUUAAGAGUCAUCGGUUCUCUAUUCAGAUUCCUUUUUCUAAUGACAGUGAUCGGAAGAGGGUCGCAAAAUAUGAUCCGAAUGCAACUUUAAGUACGUCUGUGGAAGCGAAAGAAGGAAGGGUAGAUGACGGAGGAGACUGGAGAAAGAAAAGGCGGGGGAAACGAAACUACGGAGAAAUUGGGAAGGAGAAAGAAAAGGCGAGGGAAACGAAACUAGGGAGAAAUUGUGAAGGUGGAGAUGGUGGGUAGAGGAGAGGGAAUGAAAGGGAAUGAAAGGAGGAGGAGGAGGAGGGUGAAUUGGAGAAAGAAGAGGCGAGGGAAAUGAGGGUAUGGAGAGAAAUGGGGAGGAGAUGAGGUGGUGGGUGAAGGAGAGGGAAUGAAGGAAGAGUGAAAGAAGGAGGAACAGAUGAAGAAAGAGAAACAGGAGAGAGAGAAGGCGAGGGAGACGAAAAAAAGGGAGAAAGAGAAGGCGAAGGAGAUGAAAGUACGGAGGUGGUGGGUGAAGAGAGGGAAUGAAGGAAGAGUGGAAGGAGGAUGAAUAGAUGAAGAAAGAAAAAUAGGAGAAAGAGAAGGCGAGGGAGACGAAAAAAAAGGGAGAAAGAGACGCCGAAGAAAAUCAAAGUACGGAGACAAAUGUGGGUAAGGACACAGUAGACAAAGGAGAGGGAAUAAAUAGGAGCCAUAGAUGAAUGGAGGAAAAAAAAAUGGAGAAAGAUAAACCUAAUGGAAGAAAAGGAGAAAACGAAAAAAAGGGAGAAAAUGGGGACAAGGAGAUGAGGUCGUGGGUGGUGAAGGAGAGGGAAUCAAGAGGAGAAACGAGUGUAGGUAAGUGUCUCAAAGAUGAAUGGAGGAGAAAAAAAUGGAGAAAAUAAAACCAAUGGAAGGAAAGGAGAAAACGAAAAAAGGGAGAAAAAUAGGGAGAAGGAGAUGAGGUCGUGGGUGGUGAAGGAGAGGGAAUCAAGAGGAGAAACGAGUGUAGGUAAGUGUCUCAAAGAUGAAUGGAGGAAAAAAAAUGGAGAAAAUGAAACCCAAUGGAAGGAAAGGAGAAAACGAAAAAAGGGAGAAAAAUAGGGAGAAGGAGAUGAGGUCGUGGGUGGUGAAGGAGAAUGAAUCAAGAGGAAAAACGAGUAGGUAGGUGACGCGGGAGAGGAAAAGGAGCCGAGGGAAAAGAAUUUGGUGGGACACAAGAAUUUACGGGCAAAGUCCUGGGCGGUGUGAAGAGAGGGGCAGGUGGUUGUAAUGAAGAAUGUUUGGGCGUGUGAGAAAUGAAGGCACAGACGGAGGAGGGGAAGACAGGUAAAUGAAAGGAGGAGGAGGAGAAGGAACCGCGUGUAAAGGACGGUGAAUGACAAAGAAAGGUAAAAGUGGGGGAGGAAAUGAAGGGACAGGUGGAGAGAACGAGGGAGACAGACAGGUAAAGGAAAGGAGGAGGAGGAGGAACCGCGUCUAAAGGGUGACAAAGAAAGGAAAGGUAAAAUUGGAGGAAGAAAUGAAGGGACAGGUGGAGAGAACGAGGGAGACAGACAGGUAAAGGAAAGAAAAAGGAGAAAUAACUGCUUGUGAAGGAUGACAAAGGAAGGGAAAGGUAAAGUUAAGGGAAGAAUUGGCGGGACAGGUGAAGAGGAAGAGAAGGAGACAGGUAAAGGAAAGAAGGAGGAGAAAGAACUGCUUGUGAAGGAUGACAAAGGAAGGGAAAGGUAAAGUUGAGGGUAGAGGUGAAGGUACAGAUGGAAGGGAAGAGAAGGAGACAGGUAAAUGAAAGAAGGAGGAGAAGGAACCGUGUCUAAAGAAUCACAAAAAAAGGGAAAGGUAAAGUUGAGGGAAGAGAAGGUACAGGUGAAGAGGAAAAGAGUGACAGGUAAAUAAAAUAAAUACGAAAAAGAACAAAUAAAAAAAAGAAAUGUAAAGGUAAGGUUGAGGGGGAUACACUGUAGCUGCGCGUGACCUCGGUGCUCAUCUCCGUCACAUUGACCUUACAACGAAAGAUAUAAUAAAAAUAAA